Molecule: ribosomal RNA, 467 nt
Filed under: uncultured bacterium
Lineage: Bacteria
Description: bacterial SSU rRNA
Rfam family: Bacterial small subunit ribosomal RNA
Source: RNAcentral
AAUCAACGCUGGCGGCGUGCCUCAGACAUGCAAGUCGAACGAUUAAAGCUCUCUUCGGAGAGUGCAUAGAGUGGCGCACGGGUGAGUAACACGUAAGUAAUCUACCUUCGAGUGGGGAAUAACAACCGGAAACGGUUGCUAAUACCGCAUAAUGCAGCGGCAUCGCAAGAUGACAGUUGUUAAAGGAGCAAUUCGCUUGAAGAGGAGCUUGCGGCAGAUUAGCUAGUUGGUAAGGUAAUGGCUUACCAAGGCUACGAUCUGUAACCGGUCUUAGAGGACGGUCGGUCACACUGACACUGAACAACGGGUCAGACUCCUACGGGAGGCAGCAGUCGGGAAUUUUGGGCAAUGGGCGAAAGCCUGACCCAGCAACGCCGCGUGAAGGAUGAAGUAUUUCGGUAUGUAAACUUCGAAAGAAUGGGAAGAAUAAAUGACGGUACCAUUUAUAAGGUCCGGCUAACUACGUG